GACGAGGUGGUCCAGUGGUUAAGGCAAUGGACUGCUAAUCCAUUGCGCAUUGCACGUGUGGGUUCGAAUCCCAUCCGCCUCGUUC
This is a non-coding RNA of Loxodonta africana (African savanna elephant), 85 nucleotides long. The record is from the annotation of a RefSeq genome assembly. Lineage: Eukaryota; Metazoa; Chordata; Mammalia; Proboscidea; Elephantidae.